UCUGUCUCGGUCUCUCUACCAUUGUGUCUUGUUUUUAUCUGUCUCUGUCAUCUGUUUUCUUAUAUAAACACACAUGUGCAUACACGUAUACACACACACACACACACACAGAGCGAGAGCGAGAGAGAAUGAGAGCGCAGGGAGAGUGAAAGAGAGAGCAGAAGUGGGAGUGGGUAGGUCAUUCCUUUAUUCUGCUUGGAAAUGUCAGAGUGUAGAGCUUACCUCUUUAGGUGACAAAUUAUCCAUGGAUCAGAGAUUCCCAGCAACUCAGGAGGAAAAGACUAAGGGCACACUAAACCUUUUUUUCUGAAACUAUAAAAUCAAAUACUAUAAGAGCGACAUAAAAAGGUUCCAGGAAGUUCCUACAGGAAAAGGAAAAGCCCUGUGGUCGUGGUGUGAAUGCAGAGGACAGAGGGUAGGCGUGUCCUGAGCUUCAGGAGAGCCUAACCCGGCUCAGAAAGGCACUACUUUCCAUCGACCACCAGGGGGCAGAAGUUGUCUAUUUUGCAGUCACUCGUCCGGAACCUGUUCAGGCAUCUGGGCUGUGUUGACUUACUUAAAUCUCUCAUUCAAAGAAAACAAAAAAACAAAAAACAAAAAACAAAAAAACAAAACAAAACAAAACGAGCGUGCAAUUUUAAAAAACAACCAUUAGCUCAUGUAUACCCAGAAAACUAAGUCUGCCUGACUCGGCCCAAAAGCCAACAGGGAUUCCCGGCUAACAUUUCUUUGGCGCAUGGUCUUUGGUGUGCCCUUAAAAGAAGUAGUCGUCGCCGAAGGAAAGUCAAAUGGAACAUAAUGGACGGCCUGCUGAUCACACUGCAUUUUCCGUGCACUGGGAACACUUCUAUUAUUGAAUUCUAUCAGGGCGCCUGUGAUUUGGAGAAUGUGUUGAUUAAUCUAGCUGUCUCCCACCUGCCCCCUUCCCUUCCCUGCCUCUCAUUGCUAGCGUGUCUGGAAAGGAUCAACCUUUCCCCCUCCCUUUAACUCAAGCACGCUGAGCUGAUGCCGGCUAUGGCGCAGUGAGGAACCCUCCUGGCCAUGAUGUGUUCCGUUUCUGCUGUUAUUUCCACAGUUCCUUCCUCACUGACAGUUUUCUUUUUCUCUCUCUCUUCCUCCUUCACCCAUCCCACCCCCCUAACUCAUUUCUGGUCCUAACCCCGCUCUCUU
RNAcentral lists this long non-coding RNA (1170 nucleotides) under Rattus norvegicus (Norway rat). RNAcentral describes it as "long non-coding RNA NONRATT011788". The record is from RNAcentral. Lineage: Eukaryota; Metazoa; Chordata; Mammalia; Rodentia; Muridae.